GAGUUGGAUGCUCCAGAGGAACUUGAGAAAAAGGAAGAAAUCCCUAUUACUGAAGUGUUUGAUCCGGGCUGUGUACUUGUGGAGUUUAGAAGAGCAGAAGCUGCAUGCACGGCUGCUCAUUGUCUACAUGGACGACUGUUUGACGACCGAAUAGUGACUGUGGAGUAUGUUCCCCUUGAUCUCUAUCAGACAAAGUUUGCUAAACAAAACUAAUUUCUUUUGGCCCAUUCAAAACCUUAUGCAGAUCUCCCCAAACUUGAACGACGUUAACAUAGGAUUUCACAAUGCUUAACUGAAUGUUUGUUUGCAAUUUUUACCAUUAUUGAGAUGCCUUGGUGUUAACCCUUUUGUUAGUGCGAGAGUCGUACCCGAUUUGAAGCGGAAUACAUGUUUUCUCCCAGAUGUAGAAUGGGAUGAAGGAAUGAGCCAUU
This 431-nucleotide unclassified non-coding RNA is filed under the name Hevea brasiliensis (rubber tree). The record is from RNAcentral. Lineage: Eukaryota; Viridiplantae; Streptophyta; Magnoliopsida; Malpighiales; Euphorbiaceae.